This 446-nucleotide ribosomal RNA is filed under the name uncultured bacterium. RNAcentral's name for it is "partial 16S ribosomal RNA". It matches the Rfam family "Bacterial small subunit ribosomal RNA", at positions 338 to 795 of the family's 1533-position model. The record is from RNAcentral.
CCUACGGGGCGCAGCAGUCGAGAAUCAUUCACAAUGGGGGAAACCCUGAUGGUGCGACGCCGCGUGGGGGAAUGAAGGUCUUCGGAUUGUAAACCCCUGUCAUGUGGGAGCAAAUUAAAAAGAUAGUACCACAAGAGGAAGAGACGGCUAACUCUGUGCCAGCAGCCGCGGUAAUACAGAGGGCUCAAGCGUUGUUCGGAAUCACUGGGCGUAAAGCGUGCGUAGGCGGUUUCGUAAGUCGUGUGUGAAAGGCGCGGGCUCAACCCGCGGACGGCACAUGAUACUGCGAGACUAGAGUGAUGGAGGGGGAACCGGAAUUCUCGGUGUAGCAGUGAAAUGCGUAGAUAUCGAGAGGAACACUCGUGGCGAAGGCGGGUUCCUGGACAUUAACUGACGCUGAGGCACGAAGGCCAGGGGAGCGAAAGGGAUUAGAUACCCUGGUAGUC